AAGGCAUACGAAACAGUGUGUAGUGAGUUUCUUUAUGGGCCAACUGUUCUUUUGAGACCCAAUUUCAAUGUCAAACAGUUCCUAAUGUGUACAAGUCAGCAAUUAUAUUUCAGUUCUGGAUGGUGGACAAAUGGUGGUAAUGCAGGUCCGACCCUCUCUGGCUUGGUCCUGGACAACCAGCAGUGACGCAUAGCUACUGUCUGCUAUUGUGGCAAGGCAACAUCAGCGUCUUUCAUCUCUGGACUGCUUCUCUUCUGUCUUCAUGGAUGGAGUAGACCUGUCAAUUCAUUUCUGUUGCCAAAAUCCAAAUGGUCUCAGAGUUGUUUUCUGAAAAUAUACACAUAUUCUCAAUCAAAAGUUCAUAAAGGAAUAUUUUCUAUAAAUUUGA
This is a long non-coding RNA of Pipistrellus kuhlii (Kuhl's pipistrelle), 388 nucleotides long. RefSeq lists it as uncharacterized. The record is from RefSeq and is a predicted model, not a curated record. NCBI's taxonomy places the organism in Eukaryota, Metazoa, Chordata, Mammalia, Chiroptera, Vespertilionidae. The transcript has 3 exons.